AUGCUGCCGAGAUCUCUGGAGCAAGGUAUAAAGCCCAGCCCUCAGCACUGCAGGGACAGGCAGAACACACACUUCCGGUGGACCAGCUGGCUUCUAAAGAGGAGAGGGGACCAACCCACAUAUGCUUGGUUCUUCCUUCCCAGCUUCUCUCAGGUAAGUCACGUUUCCUCUUCCCCAGGUAGAGAGAGGCCAGGAGUAUUAUUAUUAUUAUUUUUUUUUUUUUUUUUUUGAGACGGAGUCUCGCUCUGUCGCCCUGGCUGGAGUGCAGUGGCCGGAUCUCAGCUCACUGCAAGCUCCGCCUCCCGGGUUUACGCCAUUCUCCUGCCUCAGCCUCCCGAGUAGCUGGGACUACAGGCGCCUGCCACCUCGCCCGGCUAGUUUUUUUGUAUUUUUUAGUAGAGACGGGGUUUCACCAUAUUAGCCAGGAUAGUCUUGAUCUCCUGACCUCGUGAUCCGCCCGUCUCGGCCUCCCAAAGUGCUGGGAUUACAGGCUUGAGCCACCGUGCCCGGCCGCCAGGAGUAUUAUUAAUAGAAGUCCCAUUUUCAGGCAAACAUGACGAGUAGGAAAUACAUAUUCCUUCCCUACAGAGAACUCCACCUUCUCAGAAUUCUCUUUUAGCAAGACUGAGUGAGAGUGUGUGUGUGUGUGUGUGUGAGAGAGAGAGAGACAGAGAGAUGGAGAGAGAUAGAGAGACAGAAAGAGAGAGACAGAAAGAGAGAGAGAGAGAGAGAGACAGUGAGCAGUAAACCCUUCUGCAAGCCCUUCCUGACCCCCAGCCAGGGGGACCCGCCCAUCUCUCUGUGGCCUGUUCCCCAUCCUCCACCCCUGUUCUUCCAGCCACAGCUUCCCUGCCAUUCCUGUGCUGGGAACCGACUUCUCUUUUCUUUUGUCUGCCUCCUACUGGUGUGAGGUAGGAUAUGCCAAUUUCCCUCCUUUUAUCCUUUAUUCCUUCUCAUGUGGAAAAGCAACCAUGACUUUUAGCCAGCAUAAGGCUAUAUUUUCUAGCCUUCUUUGCUGCUAGGCAUGGCCAUGUGGUUAAGUUUUGGCCAAUGAGGUGUAAGCAGAAGUGGUGUAACAGACCCCUUGGAACUGCACCUGUAGGGAAAUGGCAUACCCCUUUUUGUCUCUUUCCUGGUGGCUGGCAUGUGAACAUAAGGGCUGGGGCCUGAGCAGCUAUCUUAGACCACGAAGUAGCAGCUGUGCAGUGAAGGCCGUGAAGGAGCAAAAUAGGAGCCUGGGUACCUAACAAGUUUGUGGAACCACAAUACCAAGACUGUGUUGUUCUCUGCCAACUACUUCGUUUAUGUGAGAGAAACACAUUUCUUUCUUAUUUAAGCCACUGCUCUUUGGAGGUUUCUGUGACUUGCAGCCGAACCUAAUCCUAACUAAUAGAAAAUGUGUGUGGGUGAUAGCAGGUUUACAGAUGUCUAGAUGCAGACACAUGUUUGCAAG
Molecule: long non-coding RNA, 1453 nt
Filed under: Macaca mulatta (Rhesus monkey)
Lineage: Eukaryota; Metazoa; Chordata; Mammalia; Primates; Cercopithecidae
Description: lncRNA (ENSMMUG00000051222.1)
Source: RNAcentral